UUGUGGGUACUUAAACAACGAUAUAUAUAUAUACCUAAUAUAUAAGUAGUUAUAAAUACAUAGAAAACACCCAUGUCUCAGGAACAAAUAUUCAUGCUCGUCACACAAAUAUACAAAUAUACGUUCCAGGAUUUGAAUCUGGGACCAUCGGCUUCAUAGGCAGGGUCACUGGCAACUAGGCCAGACCGGUUCUCAUGUUUAACAGACAUAAAUACAUCAAAAAGUUAGAGCAUUGAUAAAGGGUUGUUGAUAACUGGAUGCCGAAAAACAUGAUUUAUAGAUGCAUAUUAACGCUAAAUAAUCAGUUGAUCAUCUCAUUAGCAAACACUUGGAAUAUAAACUGUAGAUAAAGUCAUCUUUGUCCAAGGCUGUAUGUUUUCAGAUGCAGGCAGUGGGUCAAAUUUGUUGGGAACGAAGACCUGACGAUACAUCUUCCCAUAGAAAAGUUACAUUUAUUGAAACAUGUAUGUGCAGAUCAUUUUGAAAAUAAAGCUUUUAAUAAAAAAAACAUGACUUAAAAACUGUAUUAACUGAAACUGUAUUAAAAUAAUUCGGGUCCACAUUAAGCCCGACCAGAUAUUAGUCCAAUCAAAGAACUAUCCACUAUAUAACAUACAAUUUAAAUGUGGACUCUAUGCUAACCUGAUUUCGAGUACAAAAUUUGCAGACAGGAGCCUAUGUUUCAACCCUCCCCAUUUUAUCGAUAUCGAUAAGAAUCGCAAGCGUGUAGCGUACUACACUGUUUAAAUCGGUUAUGUUGGUAUUAUGGUUCCUUGACAGUUCUUUGUCGUAGAUUUUGGUAAUGAUUUGCGAAACAAACUGAUUACAUUCGCUAGUAUGGAAGUCCCGUCUCUUAAAACGUAGUGAUUAUAUGCUCUUUGGGUACUUGGCUAAGUUAUAGGGACCGUGCGCGUUGGAGGGUCUGCCAUCUUGUGGCCUGAAUCGGAACUAUAAGCAUGUACGUUUACACAUCACGUGUUAUCUUGUGCAUAGUAGGUUCUGCCAUCUUGUGGGCUACAUCGGAACAAUAAACAUCACAUUUACGCCUCGCGCCAAAAAUAUGACGGCUCCUGUGCUGCCUCCUACAGUUUAUGCACGCUCUCUAUACUAAAUAUAAAUUUUACAGCCAUGUGGUUCAUGUGAAUGAGAGUUGGAGUGCCCGCUCUUUUGUAAAAAAAAAAACAUUGAUGUCAUGAUGACAUGAAACAAUAAUUUUAGAUCACAACACAAGUUAUAUUUAUUUUAUUUCUCAUAAUACGUUUAUAAAAAUUUCAAGAGAAUUUUGUAACGAAUGUUUUCGGCCGAAGCACUAAAUCUUUCAAGAGUUUUUUGUGUCCUGUCCUCGCACAUGAUACGAGUAUCCCGACCGCGCUUGCUGGCCGCGCGGCCGCUGCUGGUCCGGUGUCCGGCACCGGUACCCGCACUGUCUCCGCGGACACAGCGCCCAUCGUUGCUAGACACACGGCCGGUGUUGCGUGCGAGUGACGCCGCUGCUCGCCGCCGCUGCUGCAUCGGCUGCGUCGCCAAACUGGUCGACUCUUUCCUUACUAAUUACUCAUAAGUAGGUAUAAGUGAUCUUGUUAAUUCUGUGUAAGUCGAUUGAAUUGUUCAUGCAAACGUUUAGGAUUAUUUUUAUCGUAUUUACUUUGAUUUUGAUUAAUGUUUUUUUCAUCAUACCUGAAAUUUCGCUAAGUCGGUAUCAUACCCUUUUACCGCCAAAGACGUCCACAGAUACGCACGGUUUCCAUUUAAUGAAAAGUUCAUGAUUAACCUUCAUUCAUUCCAAUAAGGUCUACUAUGGAGUGUUGUAUAAAAUAGCCAUGGCGUAGUGUUAAUAACUGGUCGGUAAACGCCAUGGAUUCCCCUGCAGUUGUAAGCGUCAUCAGGCGGUCUGUAUACUUAUUUGUCACCGACUUAGAUAAAAAGUAUCUCAAUAACUUUUUUAUAACAUUCUAACACAGUAAAAUAUUGUGCGUUGAUACGUAGGUACUUACAUAUAAAAAAUGUAAAUGUAUGAAAAUAUUCCAUACAUUAUAUAUACGAAAGCCAUAAUGUAUAAGAUAAAAAUAUUCUAAAUGUGGCUAUUCUCAUGUAUACAGAGAGUUCAGAGACAACGUACGAAUAAUGGACAAUAUUCCUAUAGUUAUUUAUUGUACAUACCUAAUAAAUAGUCCAGUCAGAAUGA
This is an RNA transcript of Cydia pomonella (codling moth), 2185 nucleotides long. RefSeq lists it as uncharacterized. Lineage: Eukaryota; Metazoa; Arthropoda; Insecta; Lepidoptera; Tortricidae. The record is from RefSeq and is a predicted model, not a curated record. The transcript is spliced from 2 exons.